This 463-nucleotide ribosomal RNA is filed under the name uncultured bacterium. RNAcentral describes it as "bacterial SSU rRNA". It matches the Rfam family "Bacterial small subunit ribosomal RNA", at positions 330 to 792 of the family's 1533-position model. The record is from RNAcentral.
UCCAGACUCCUACGGGAGGCAGCAGUGGGGAAUAUUGCACAAUGGGGGAAACCCUGAUGCAGCGACGCCGCGUGAGUGAAGAAGUAUUUCGGUAUGUAAAGCUCUCUCAGCAGGGAAGAAAUAGCGACCUUUGGGUCGCCAGACGGUACCUGACUAAGAGGCCCCGGCUAACUACGUGCCAGCAGCCGCGGUAAUACGUAGGGGGCAAGCGUUAUCCGGAUUUACUGGGUGUAAAGGGAGCGUAGACGGCAUGGCAAGUCUGAGGUGAAAGCCCGGGGCUCAACCGCGGGACUGCUUUGGAAACUGUUAAGCUGGAGUGCAGGAGAGGUAAGUGGAAUUCCUAGUGUAGCGGUGAAAUGCGUAGAUAUUAGGAGGAACACCAGUGGCGAAGGCGGCUUACUGGACUGUAACUGACGUUGAGGCUCGAAAGCGUGGGGAGCAAACAGGAUUAGAUACCCGCGUA